GUUGAGGUAGGUGAUAUCUUGACUGUAGAAAAGAUGCUCAGGUACUUCCUCAAGGCUGUAGCAUGAAAGAUCAACCAUGCUAAGUCGCAUAGACACAACCGUGGAUGCCUGUCGGUGCCACCGCUGGCACUCCGCCAGCGUUUCGAAGGAAACGUGGUAUGUUUGGGCUUGUGCUCCAGCGGAUGUGAAAGCAAGCGUGUACUGCCGACGUUUCAUUUCUUCAACCUUCCCUCCGACAAGAGGCAAGAUGUGCA
Molecule: long non-coding RNA, 254 nt
Filed under: Gallus gallus (chicken)
Lineage: Eukaryota; Metazoa; Chordata; Aves; Galliformes; Phasianidae
Source: RNAcentral